AGCAGCCGCGGUAAUUCCAGCUCCAAUAGCAUAUAUUAAAGUUGUUGCAGUUAAAAAGCUCGUAGUUGAAUUUCGGAAUCAAUAUAUCGGUCAUGCUUAGGUAUGUACUGGUAUUAUUGAUUUCUCCCUUCUGAAGAACCAUGAUGUCAUUAAUUUGGUGUCGUGGGGAAUCAGGACUGUUACUUUGAAAAAAUUAGAGUGUUUAAAGCAGGCAUACGCUUGAAUACAUUAGCAUGGAAUAAUGAAAUAGGACGUUUGAUUCUAUUUUGUUGGUUUCUAGGAUCGACGUAAUGAUUAAUAGGGAUAGUUGGGGGCAUUAGUAUUCAAUUGUCAGAGGUGAAAUUCUUGGAUUUAUUGAAGACUAACUACUGCGAAAGCAUUUGCCAAGGAUGUUUUCAUUAAUCAAGAACGAAAGUUAGGGGAUCGAAGACGAUCAGAUACCGUCGUAGUCUUAACCAUAAACUAUGCCGACUAGGGAUCGGAUGAUGUUAAUUUUCUAA
RNAcentral lists this ribosomal RNA (500 nucleotides) under uncultured Glomus. Its description in RNAcentral is "SSU rRNA". It matches the Rfam family "Eukaryotic small subunit ribosomal RNA", at positions 569 to 1074 of the family's 1831-position model. Lineage: Eukaryota; Fungi; Glomeromycota; Glomeromycetes; Glomerales; Glomeraceae. The record is from RNAcentral.